GACUACUACAGCUUGUUGAGGGAGAUGAGACUACUACAGCUUGUUGAGGUAGAUGGGACUACUACAGCUUGUUGAGGUAGAUUGGACUACUACAGCUUGUUGAGGUAGAUGGGACUACUACAGCUUGUUGAGGGAGAUGAGACUACUACAGCUUGUUGAGGUAGAUGAGACUACUACAGCUUGUUGAGGUAGAUGAGACUACUACAGCUUGUUGAGGUAGAUGGGACUACUACAGCUUAUUGAGGUAGAUGGGACUACUACAGCUUAUUGAGGUAGAUGGGACUACUACAGCUUAUUGAGGUAGAUGGGACUACUACAGCUUAUUGAGGUAGAUGGGACUACUACAGCUUAUUGAGGUAGAUGGGACUACUACAGCUUGUUGAGGGAGAUGGGACUACUACAGCUUGUUGAGGGAGAUGGGACUACUACAGCUUGUUGAGGGAGAUGAGACUACUACAGCUUGUUGAGGGAGAUGAGACUACUACAGCUUGUUGAGGGAGAUGGGACUACUACAGCUUGUUGAGGGAGAUGGGACUACUACAGCUUGUUGAGGUAGAUGGGACUACUACAGCUUGUUGAGGGAGAUGGGACUACUACAGCUUGUUGAGGGAGAUGAGAC
Oncorhynchus keta (chum salmon) is the source of this 619-nucleotide long non-coding RNA. RefSeq lists it as uncharacterized. The record is from RefSeq and is a predicted model, not a curated record. The transcript has 6 exons. Lineage: Eukaryota; Metazoa; Chordata; Actinopteri; Salmoniformes; Salmonidae.